AAAUUGAAGAGUUUGAUCAUGGCUCAGAUUGAACGCUGGCGGCAGGCCUAACACAUGCAAGUCGAGCGGAAACGACACUAACAAUCCUUCGGGUGCGUUAAUGGGCGUCGAGCGGCGGACGGGUGAGUAAUGCCUAGGAAAUUGCCUUGAUGUGGGGGAUAACCAUUGGAAACGAUGGCUAAUACCGCAUAAUGCCUACGGGCCAAAGAGGGGGAUCUUCGGACCUCUCGCGUCAAGAUAUGCCUAGGUGGGAUUAGCUAGUUGGUGAGGUAAUGGCUCACCAAGGCGACGAUCCCUAGCUGGUCUGAGAGGAUGAUCAGCCACACUGGAACUGAGACACGGUCCAGACUCCUACGGGAGGCAGCAGUGGGGAAUAUUGCACAAUGGGCGAAAGCCUGAUGCAGCCAUGCCGCGUCUAUGAAGAAGGCCUUCGGGUUGUAAAGUACUUUCAGUUGUGAGGAAGGGUGUGUAGUUAAUAGCUGCACAUCUUGACGUUAGCAACAGAAGAAGCACCGGCUAACUCCGUGCCAGCAGCCGCGGUAAUACGGAGGGUGCGAGCGUUAAUCGGAAUUACUGGGCGUAAAGCGCAUGCAGGUGGUUCAUUAAGUCAGAUGUGAAAGCCCGGGGCUCAACCUCGGAACUGCAUUUGAAACUGGUGAACUAGAGUGCUGUAGAGGGGGGUAGAAUUUCAGGUGU
This 696-nucleotide ribosomal RNA is filed under the name Vibrio splendidus. RNAcentral's name for it is "bacterial SSU rRNA". It matches the Rfam family "Bacterial small subunit ribosomal RNA", at positions 1 to 676 of the family's 1533-position model. The record is from RNAcentral. Lineage: Bacteria; Pseudomonadati; Pseudomonadota; Gammaproteobacteria; Vibrionales; Vibrionaceae.